ACUCCUACGGGAGGCAGCAGUAGGGAAUAUUGGUCAAUGGGCGGGAGCCUGAACCAGCCAUGCCGCGUGCAGGAAGACGGCCUUCUGGGUUGUAAACUGCUUUUACCAGGGAAGAAAACCCCCAUGCGUGGGGAAUUGACGGUACCUGGCGAAUAAGCACCGGCUAACUCCGUGCCAGCAGCCGCGGUAAUACGGAGGGCGCAAGCGUUGUCCGGAUUUAUUGGGUUUAAAGGGUGCGUAGGCGGCUUUUUAAGUCAGUGGUGAAAUGCGGCAGCUCAACUGCCGGAGUGCCAUUGAUACUGGAAAGCUUGAGUAUAGAUGAGGCAGGCGGAAUUUAUGGUGUAGCGGUGAAAUGCAUAGAUACCAUAAAGAACACCGAUAGCGUAGGCAGCUUGCUAAACUAUAACUGACGCUGAGGCACGAAAGCAUGGGUAGCGAACAGGAUUAGAUACCCUGGUAGUCCAUGCCGUAAACGAUGAUUACUCGAUGUGUGCGGUACACAGUACGCGUCCAAGCGAAAGCGUUAAGUAAUCCACCUGGGGAGUACGCCCGCAAGGGUGAAACUC
Molecule: ribosomal RNA, 566 nt
Filed under: uncultured bacterium
Lineage: Bacteria
Description: bacterial SSU rRNA
Rfam family: Bacterial small subunit ribosomal RNA
Source: RNAcentral